GGCUGAAAGUCACAUGAGCUGAGCUCAAACAUUUUAAAAAAUUUUUCUUAGUAACAUUAUUUGAACAAAAUAAAAACCUGUCCCAGCAGUUCUCUCUACCAGGCACUUGGCAGAGGUCCCACAAGGUUCUCAGAAACUUGGGCCGGGCCCCAGCUCAUCCCAAGGAAUCUCUGGGCUCAGCUGCCUGUCUUAGGGAAUGCUUGCCUUGCCAUCAUGUGAAUUCAGGACAAAAACUGUUGGGAUUUAGAACAGCCUGGGUUCCAAUCUGCUGGGCUUACGAAAAAGAAAAAGCUGGGGAGAAGACAGAGGAAUGCUUUGGCUCAUGCAACAGAAAAGUCUGGAGGCAACCGCUUCAGGUAAGACUGGUUCCAUGGGCUCAAACAAUUUCAUCAGGACUUGGUUUCUCUCUGCCUUUUACAUACGCUUUCCCCUGUGUCAACUUCAUCCUUAAGCAGCAAAAUAGAUGUCAGAAGCCUGGAAACACAGACUUACAACUUGGCCACCCUUUUCCUAACAGUUCCAGGAAAAGCUAGAGUUAAACCUCACUGGAUCAGUGUGGGUCCCAAGCCCAACCCUAUUGGUUAUUGUGGAUGGAAUAUGCUGAUUAGCUGGGCCUGGAGCCAAAGGAAAAUGGGGUACAGUGUGUGUGGGGGAGGGUGAUUUAGGGGGGGAAAGGCGACAGGAAUGCUGACUGGGUAAGAAUGAGAGACGAUCACGGGGUGAUGUAGGGUAUAGGUCUCAGGCUGCUGUUGAUCCAUCCAUUCACUUAGCAGAUAGUUAUUUAGCAACUGCUGCAUGCCAAGCACCACGGGAGGCCCUGAGGCUGAGUAACCAAACAGAUCUAGCACUAACUCUUAGGAAGAGCAGGUCCAGUGGGGAAGAUGAAUAACACACCAGCAAACACACAGAUACACGAGGUAGGUGUGGAGAGUGGAACUUCUGGGAAGGACAAAAAUGGAUGAGAACAAGGAACAAUGGUGUCAGGGGAGGGCAAGAUGAGUGGCCAUUUGGGCACCCAUGUGCACCAAGAAAGCAGAAAGAUCCAGCUCAAGGUGAAAAUCUGAACAGUCAGAUGGUUGGGGCAGAUGUGCAAAGCCAAGAGAACACAUUUCCCCCCAGAGAGAAGGGGAGAAAAGGAGGGAGAGAGACAGGCAGGGAUGGACAGGACUUACACCCAGUUUUCUCCUUUUAGUCUCAUACUCCUACCUUCUUAUCAUGAAUCCCCUUUACUCACAUUUGGCCAAAGGGUCUCUUUGUCUUGAAUAAAUCACCCUAAACUAUGGAAUUAACCAAAAAUUCAAGACGUCUAACCUCAUUACUUGCCCACAAGACACCAUUUUGUAGGCUCAUUCAUUCUUAAGUGACAUAAGAUACCCAAAACUUCACUGGGCUGUGACUGAAAAGUACCCACGCUUAAAAAAAUAAUACUAUAUGUGAAUACUUAAGUAUAUAUAUAGUGUACUCACAUGUACUUAAGGAUACACAGAAAGUGAGACAGCCAGUUCAGUAGCAGAUUUGAAAACCAAAGCACCAUUUCUUGAGCUCUCCACAGUGGGUCUGCAGGCUUGUGGGGGUAUAAGAAUGAUUCAGUGCUGGGGCGCCUGGGUGGCUCAGUCAGUUAAGCGGCCGACUUCGGCUCAGGUCAUGAUCUCACAGUUCAGAGGUUUGAGCUCCACAUAGGGCUCUGUGCUCAUAGCUCAGAGCCUGAAGCCUGCUUCAGAUUCUAUGUCUCCCUCUCUCUCUGCCCCUCCCUCACUCCUGCUCUGUCUCUCUCUGUCUCAAAAUUAAAUAAACAUUAAAAAAAAAAAAAGAAUGAUUCAGUGCUGGGGCACCUGGGUGGCUAAUUCCUCAAAGAUGCCCAAAGCAAAGUACACACACACACACACGCACAUGCACAUUCACAUAAGAGAGUACACACACACAGCACACACAGACACAUAAAUUAUAUCCAUUCCCAUACAUACACACACAAUGAAUACAUGCAAAGUGCAAACAUACACAUACAAAGCACAUGUAUACAAGGUACACAUACACAAACUACACACACACACACAAAUUGCACACAUGCACACAAAGCACACACAGUAAACACACACACAGAUUAUGAAAAGCGUUCAGAUUAAUUUUUGACUACUAUUCACCAAGGCCCUUCUCACAGCCAGGCACUGUGGUUGAAGGUGUUUUCACACCCAUGGUAAUAGCAAUGAUGGAAGAAGUGCUUAUCGAUCUUCCCUGUGUCCCUGGAAGGCCCGGUUUCAUCAGCAUUCCCCUUUUUGGAAGGAAAGGGCUUGCCCUGGGCCACACCUCUAAGACAUGGUGGAGCCUCUAGGACGGCUAGAGGGCCACACCUCUAGGACAGCUCUCCUCUUUGGUCAACUCCACACUGCUCUCUAAAUGUACAUGUGUAAGGGUCCAGGUCCUGCCACAUCCACUGUGUCUACACAAAUGAGCUCCCUGUGAUGCAGAUCUCAGCAUGUUACACAUCUCAGGGUAUAAAACGGUACUCUCUAUACUAUAGCCUACUAACGCCAUUCCAGAUUUAUUACAUUUAUUUAAAAACAACAAACAUUCUCAAUUAUUUCCACACUGCUCGGGACCAUAAUUUACUCAGAGGUAUGAGCUAUCAAGUUUCUCAGGGAUUGCUUCAAAAUGUCAGAUCUAAAAGAUGACUCCUAUGUUAGCAAAUAUGAAAUACCCAUUUGUAUUUUUCAUUUUUACUUUGAUUUAAUUUUCAGACAAUUCAACUUUCUCCCCAUGCCUGAGUGCCUAAAUUCAUUUCACCUGUCAAAAGAGACAAAUUUUCAUAAUUACAAAAUAAAACAUGGUGGCCUUCUUUGGUGACCGUAUAUUUCACAUCUUUCUUUUUUCUGUAUGAAAAUGCCUUUCUAGUCUAGUUGGCUUACUUCUGACAUAUUUUCGUUCAGUCUCUGCUUAGAACAGACAAGGGUACAGGCUAAACAUUCACUAAUGUUUUGUUAUGUUAAUGAACAUCUGUAAACAGAGAUGAAAUUUCCCAGCCGAGCCUGCCUUCGAUGCUCACAUCUUCUUUUCUGUAAUCUGUGCUGAAAACAGUCAGUGUUCUGAGAUUACAAGCUAUAGCAUGACACAUACCCCAUUCUAUAGUGGUUCCUUCUGCCUUGACCAAAAAGCCCUCAAGUCCUACCAUCAGGUUCAGUCAGGAUGUUCAUUUCAGAGAGGUCAGAAUCAUCUAGGGCUUUCUUACCAUAGCUGCCAGGGGCAGCUUACUAUGCACAGGACAUAGUAAGGGGAUUUUCUUUAAAAUAUUUUAUUUUCAUUUACAAAAGUAAUACAUGUUCUUUGUCUAAAAAUUUGGGGGGACAGAAACAGCAACAGUCAGAAACAGAUGACCUACAACUCCACCGUCCAAAGCAAAACACAGCCAACACGCUGAUGGAACUUCAGACUGUUCUUUUAAAACAAAAUUCACACAUACACACACAAAAAUAAAUAAAUAAAUGAAAAUAAAAUUCACUUUUGACUUGGUUGGGCUUUUGAAUCCUUGAAAAUGGUUAAUCAUUAGAAACCUACUCUAUUAGUUGCCAAGGGGUUAAAGACGAAAAGGGAAGAAAACAUUUACUUCUUUGAAGCUGUCCACCUGAGGUGCAAGGUUCUGUCCCACAGAGUGUUGAAAUGCCCAGUCUGGGCACCAGCCCUACUCCCCCACCCUUCACUCCUGCACCUGGACACACAGAUCAUUCCCAAAAGGUGAUAUAAUUUAAAAUUCAGUGGCCGGUACAGGGCACCUGGGUAGCUCAGUUGGUUAGGCAUCCGACAUUGGCUCAGGUCAUGAUCUCACGGUUCAUGCGUUUGAGCCCCGCAUCAGGCUCUGCGCUGACAGCUCAGAACAUGGAGUCUGCUUCAGAUUCUGUGUCUCCCUGUCUCUCUGCUCCCCCCACCUGUUCACGCUCUGUCACGUUCUCUCUUUCAAAAAUAAAUAAACAUUAAAAAAAAAUUCAGUGGCCAGUAAAUUCUGAAAAGGAUAAGAGUAAUGAGAAUCUGUGGAAUGAAGAGAAUAUACAAGGCAAGAUGCAAUAUCAGAGUGGGGUCAUUUUCAGGAGCAGAUGUUAAAGGUACAGAGCAAUGAAAACUUGAUGCAUAUACAUAUAUACCCCAUUUAUACAGAAAUCAUGACUGUCAUAGAUCAAGGUCUCUGGGAAGCUGGCUUUGAAAAGGAUAUGUGCAUACAGUAGGCUUCUUAGGCAGUGCUCACAGAAUUGCCACCCAUGCAAGGGACAGGAUGGAAGCAGGAAUGGAUUGGAUGCGGGGGGCAAGUGAGCUGAAAUGCUCAACAAAAGCCUUGGCUGAUCCCAUGGGGAGCUGUGAAGCCAGGAUGGUUCUUGACAGGUGUCCCACGAUGGUAUGAGAGACCAGUACACUUGCUUCAUCAGCCAGUCAUUGGAUGUGGGCCACUGUGGGCCAAAUGAGGCUCUUCAGAGGACAGAAUUCCUACAGCUGGUGAUGUCAAGGGCUGUGUGUCAGCAGAGCUCCAGCAAUCCUCCAGGGAAUCUGGGUGGCUGGUUACAGCAUCCCCUAGGCUACAGGGAUGCUACACAGUGUAGCAAUGCCUCCUUCACCCAAAGAAAAGGCAUACAGGUAACCAGAUCCCUGCUAUUGAGAUCCACUCAGAAAUCAGAGGCAGAAGUCCAUUUACUUCUGGAGAAACUCACAAAAGAAAAAGUCAGGGGCCAUUCUGAACACUGCCUAAUACGCUAAUCACCAGGGCGGUAUGGACAAUGGGGGUAGCCUCACCUUGAGGGACCACAGGAUUAAUUUAUCAGGAAUUCCGAUUUUAGUUGCCAGCAGAGCUCCACACCCAGAUCAGUGGCUGGUAAAACUCAGUAUUUCUAAAACACAAUGAUUGAGAGAGCAGACACCUGGUCCCCUUCAUUCCGGCAGAGGUGCCAGUGCCCUGAGCAGGGUCCACAGCCCCACACAGACCUCACUGCUGCACUAUCUACCAGAGGUUGAGAGGCGCCAGGCCAAGGAAGCACUCUCCGGAGCAGGCCCCACAUGGUCCCAUGGGACGUCAUACAGAACUCCUCUGUCAGACUCUGCACCCAAGUGCCUUUUCACUCAACAAGGCCCGCACUACCAUUCACAUUUCACAAAUGAGGUAACAAAGGCCCAACAUCUUGUCCAACACCCCCUAGAGAACAUAGCAGCACCAGAAUUUGCACCCCAUUGGGGGAGGGGGCAACUUUGGGUUCAUUCCAUUAUGCAUGAUUGCCCUCAGGUAUCUGUUGGCAUGACCAUGAAUUAGGCUGUUUACACCUCCGUUGACAACAGUGACGUUUUUCUAUGGUCCGAGCUGCAGCCUUAUUUCAUUACCGUCAUUACUGUCUAUUGCAGAGGGGCGUGACGCUCUCUGCUCCUGGUGAAUUGUAAGUCUGUGGCUCCCUAGCAGGGAGGACCGUCAAUCUCUACAGGAUGACAGUGCACAGCAAGACACAGCAUCUCACUUCAGCUUCAGGAAGACAAAGCUGAGCAUCUUCUCUUUGAGAAAAUGAUUUUGCUCAUCAUUUGUCUAGUGUCCUAACUACAGGGAGAGAAAAGUUGCUUUAAAGCUGGUCUCUUUUGUCUUUUUCAAGCUGAAUGUGUCCCAUCAAACCUAAAGAAUUAGCCUUUCAACGGAAUACCGCAGCAAAGAUAAAAUACACGGCAAUAAAUUAUAAAUUCAUAAUGAAAUCCCAAAAGAAUUACAUUUACCUAGAUGUCACUCACCUUACAUGGCCACAUAGAGACUAUCACAGGGUGUGAUAUAAUCCAUACUUUAGUAAGAUCAGAAAACACAAUAUAAGUACCAGCUCUUCAUCAGGUUACCUCACUAGCCUGAGCCUCAGAUUUCAUCUACGAAAUAUGAGGGUGUGUCUGGGCCAUCUUUAAGAUUCCUUCCAGUUCUAGCAUUUCCUAGUCAGGAUCCACAGAGCCCUAUUUUGUUCUGCUUGCCAUGGAAAAGCUGUGAAACUACCACUAUCACCACAAGAUCACUCCCUAAAACAACAACAAGCUUCCCUGCAGGGUUUAGUGCCCCAUGAUAGGACACAGAAAGUGCUUAUGUCAUAAGUUUUUUUUUUUUUUAAAUGUUCUUGUUUUACCAUGGAUGCAGUAAUAGAAACAUUAGCAGACAGAGAUCCAAAGCAAGCUGUACUACCCCCCAAAGCUCACUGCAAUGUUUAGGCCAUAAAUUGAAAUUAGAAUUACAAAAAUGACACUCUAGAAAUUAUUUUUAAAACUAAAAACAUCUCUAAAAAAAAAAUGAAAUGGCAUUCCAACUCAGUGGUUCUGCAGGCAACCCCCCCAAGUGAGAAUGUCUCAAUUACGGCGAAGUCGCCGUUACCCUCUCGACUGAAAUUGCAUGAGAGAGCUGUGUGAUUUACAUUUGCAGUUUAUAAAAUAAAUUAGGCAGAAAAGAAUCUCAUAAUCUCAAACACAUUUAGUUUACCAGAUUCCGCCAAGGUAAGUAGACAAAGCAUGUAAUCCUUGAAGCAGCAAACAAUGACACUAAUGAUUCAUUAAUACGUUCAUCAGAAGAAAUUUGAUAAAUGUAUAGAUAUUCUCUUUCAGCCAACACUAGGAAAUGGAUCAGCAAAACUGCCCAAGACACACUUCCACCCAAACUCUGACUCCCAUCAUCAACUGAAUGGCCUGUGACAGGAGGGGUAAGGGAGGACUGACACCUAAGUUGCUAUUUUUCAAUGCUAUGCACACAGGCUUCAUUAGGAAGUCAGCGCAUUAUGUUUAGGACCAUACAGAACGGGUGGGUAUGGACCACAGCUCCACCUUGGCACAGCAGCUGUCACCUCCUGCCUCCAUCACUAUAGUGGCUUCCCAAUUGGUGUCCCUGCUGCCACCAUUGACCUUCUUUCAUCUUUAUCUUCCACAGAACAGCCAGAGGGACGCCUUAAAACUCUAAGUCAGUUCCUGCAACUUCUCAGUUCGACGCCACUUGAGCAGAGGGGCGACGCCCUCAAAGUCCUACGGGAUAGGGCCCCAUCUUAUCUUUCUGAGCUCAUUUCCUAUAUCCUCCUCCCUCACACAUUCUGUUCCAGCUACACAGUCCUCUUUGUUACUUCUCGAACUUUCCGGGCAAGCUCCUAGCUCAAGGCUUUUGUGGUUGUGGUUCUUUUUGCUCUUCCUUCAUCCAUAUGCGUGGGGACCUCCCUCUCCACUUUGAAGGCUUGGCUCACAGGUUACCUGCCCUAACCAUUGCCUUACUACCAUUACCUGCCCCUUAUCCCCACCCCUGUGCGCUGUCAUACCCCAUACCCUGGCUGACCUUUUAUUCUGUCCAGUAAAAUUGAAAG
RNAcentral lists this long non-coding RNA (7325 nucleotides) under Lynx pardinus (Iberian lynx). Lineage: Eukaryota; Metazoa; Chordata; Mammalia; Carnivora; Felidae. The record is from RNAcentral.